Molecule: non-coding RNA, 560 nt
Organism: Petromyzon marinus (sea lamprey)
Lineage: Eukaryota; Metazoa; Chordata; Hyperoartia; Petromyzontiformes; Petromyzontidae
Source: RefSeq, a predicted model, not a curated record
ACCACCAUCAUCACCAUCAUCAUCACCACCACCAUCAUCAUCAGCAGCAUCAUCAUCAGCUAAGCAGCAGGUCCGGGCUGCACCUAACCCAGCGAACUGCAAGUGAUCAGUUUAUCCCGUCGGAGUCUUUCGCAAGUGAUCAGCUGUGGCACGACCAGGCGGGGCAUCGAGACGCCCAGCAAACGCCGCUCGAGCGAAUUUGUUCUCAAUGAUCGUGGGGAUCCUCAUUCAGUUCCUGAUCACGACGUGGCCCUCUAACCCCGUGUCUCAGUCGGUCUCCAUCAGGGCUGGCUAGGUGGCGAUGUCUCUGCUGGAUGACCACUCAGUGGACGUGGAGCUGCUGCAGCUCCAUCAGCUCGUGCAGCAGCAGCAGCUGAUGGAGCUCCAGAACGCGGAGCGACGGGGUCAUGACCUCCACCACAGGGACGACACGGGGGGCGGGGGGCAGCGCUGGACCGUGAGCAUCGCUGCUUCUGAAGACGAUCGUGAUCAUGGUGAUGGUGGUGAUGGUGAUGGUGGUGAUGGUGGUGGUGGUGAUGGUGAUGGUGGUGAUGGUGGUG